This 965-nucleotide long non-coding RNA is filed under the name Homo sapiens (human). RNAcentral's name for it is "long non-coding RNA NONHSAT005626". The record is from RNAcentral. Lineage: Eukaryota; Metazoa; Chordata; Mammalia; Primates; Hominidae.
ACAUGAAAGGAUGUGAAUUUGCAAUCAGAGAAACCUGAGUUCCACCAUGCUUUCUUCCUCUUGCAAGCCAUGAAAUCCACAGUGGGUUAGUGGAUAUUACAAAACCUCUGGUCCCACCUUAUUAAGAUGGAAAAAAAUAAGACUAAUUGAAAGAACAAAUGUGAUAAUGAGAAGAAAUGGUAUCAAUAAAGUUCCUGGAACACAGUUAUGUGCAGUACUGAAGAGCAACUUCAGCUAUUGAGUUACACCUCAAUGCAACCUCCUGGCAGGCCAGCCUUAAGCCCAGCAGUCCAACCAUGCAUCUAAGCUGAGUUCUCAUCAGAGCCAACUUCAAUUAUAAACAACUGAGAUGAUGCCAGAGGCCAGAAUCCCUGAGAACCCAAUUUGCUGUCAUCACCACAGCUGAAACAAGGUGCUUGGCAUCUAGAAAAGCUGAUCUGUAGGAAAUUUCCAAUAGAGUUCAACUUUUUCUAAGUUUAAAGUGUACAAUAUCACCAAGGUGAGACACUCAAGAUAAAACUAGGCUUGUGUUUAAAUAUAAUAAAAAUAUUUGAAGAAUAGUAAGAGUGGUGACUACUUUUACACAGGAAUGUUUCAAAUAAAUUGUUUUUUUCUUGUGCCUUUUAAAUUUUGUGAUUUGUCAAUGAGAUGCUGACAUGUUUUUAAUGAAGCAUGCCUUGUAAAAUAAUAAGUGAAUGAAAACUACACCGUAAUAUUUACAUCAACAAAGCUAGAAGAAGACUGUAUGUCUCAAGAGGCUCCAUCAUCUACCCAGUGGCCACUUCACCAAAUUAAGAUCCAAAUACCAAAAAGAAAAGUAAUUAAAAUUUGUGUUGUAUGCCUUAUAAGACCAAACCUAUAAAAUGAGGGGAAACUUCACAAUUACUUGUAAUUUGCUCUGUGGAAUUGUAACAGAUGGAUUAUAAAGAUGAUUCCAUGAUAAACAUCUAAAUGUGGUUACUACC